This 724-nucleotide ribosomal RNA is filed under the name uncultured archaeon. RNAcentral's name for it is "bacterial SSU rRNA". It matches the Rfam family "Archaeal small subunit ribosomal RNA", at positions 135 to 859 of the family's 1478-position model. The record is from RNAcentral.
GGAAACUGAGGAUAAUACUGGAUAGGCAAUUUUUCCUGUAAUGGUUUUUUGUUUAAAUGUUUUUUCGCCUAAGGAUGGGUCUGCGGCCGAUUAGGUAGUUGGUUAGGUAAUGGCUUACCAAGCCGUUGAUCGGUACGGGUUGUGAGAGCAAGAGCCCGGAGAUGGAACCUGAGACAAGGUUCCAGGCCCUACGGGGUGCAGCAGGCGCGAAACCUCCGCAAUGUGAGAAAUCGCGACGGGGGGAUCCCAAGUGCCAUUCUUAACGGGAUGGCUUUUCUUUAGUGUAAAGAGCUUUUGGAAUAAGGGCUGGGCAAGACCGGUGCCAGCCGCCGCGGUAACACCGGCAGCUCUAGUGGUAGCAGUUUUUAUUGGGCCUAAAGCGUCCGUAGCCGGUUUAAUAAGUCUCUGGUGAAAUCCUGUAGCUUAACUGUGGGAAUUGCUGGAGAUACUAUUAGACUUGAGACCGGGAGAGGUUAGAGGUACUCCCAGGGUAGAGGUGAAAUUCUGUAAUCCUGGGAGGACCGCCUGUUGCGAAGGCGUCUAACUGGAACGGUUCUGACGGUGAGGGACGAAAGUUAGGGGCGCGAACCGGAUUAGAUACCCGGGUAGUCCUAACUGUAAACGAUGCGGACUUGGUGUUGGGGUGGCUUUGAGCUGCUCCAGUGCCGAAGGGAAGCUGUUAAGUCCGCCGCCUGGGAAGUACGGUCGCAAGACUGAAACUUAA